GUCAACAACCCCACACUAGAAGUGGGGGGCUUGCAGGAGCAAUCCUACAGGCUCCAAGUUGACCAAACUCAGCAUUUUUUAAGUGCUACGUUACCGUAGAAAGCUACAACAGGUACGGCAGGGUGCUUCUCCAGCCUUGCCCACUACGGUCAGUGAUUAAACAGGUUUAAAGGGGUUAAGCCCAGUGUUGCUGACAUUCAAACCUACGGACUAACAUUGUCGAGGAGACAUUUAC
Molecule: non-coding RNA, 235 nt
Organism: Anaerolineaceae bacterium 4572_78
Lineage: Bacteria; Bacillati; Chloroflexota; Anaerolineae; Anaerolineales; Anaerolineaceae
Source: Rfam